UGGCUGCACUGUGUUAAUGGGCAGGACCUGACUCCCAGGCAAGCGCAUUCUGCUUUUUUAUUCCUUUUAGCUUAGUUUAGUUUCUUCGGCCCCUCUCUGUCACUAUGCAUACAGAGCUGGAUAAACGCCUGCCUGUCUGUGCAAGUGUUUUAUUUGGUUCUGCAGGCUGGGUGUUGGAGUUGAAGUAGUCUCAAAAUCAGAGAACAAAGUGUACAGCUGUACAGGCAGGUAAAACAAACAGAGCUCUUUACGCUUCAGUGCAAUAUAUCUUUGCCCAGCCUUACACCAAUGAUAAUCCUUUUUUGCACAGUGGUCCACAAAGUAAUGGAAUCUGACUUCAGCAAUUUUUCACGUAAGCGAUACUACAUUUGCUGCAUAUGUCUACAGGGAACUAAAUUUUCAGUGUAGCUGCUCAGAAAUUUAGUUUACUGUGCUGCUUGCUAUGCUAAAAAUGAUCUCAUUUAAGAAUGGGUAAAAACCUUUUCAUUUUAUUAGAGUCACAGCUGGUUUUAUUUUAAUAUGCAAGCAUCUUCAACUUCCUAGAGGAAUAUUUGUAUCUGGAAAUGAGAUAGACCUUAGUAAAGCUGUAAAUAACAAGUGAAUAUCAAAGGCCGACCACCCUUCUGAUACUGGGGAAGAGUCUUAAAUGUGUGCGACCAGUUAUAGGACAUUUGGACAACAUGACAAUUAACUCACAGUAAACUCUUUGUUGGUCAUAAGUAAAUAAUCCCUCUACAAAAUAAACAACAGUUUGGCUGAUUUGAGUCAAGAAAAUUGCAUCUCAUCCUAAAAGGAAUCCACGCUGCAUGAGGAUGAAAUGAAGAAAAGAAAAGUGAAAACCACCUCAGCACCCGGGUAUGAGGCAUCCUUGUGUGCAGUCUAUCAGCGUGCAAGAUGUUGAAUUUAUCUGUGGGAACACAUGAAGAUUAGCAAUGUCCUCCUUUGUGCUUUGAGUUCAUGAAUCAUUGUCAGCUGCUUACUAAAUAUAACCUCUUAACACUGCUUGGACUUGUAGUCAUGAUGGUUACAUGGUGAGAUGACUAGAGACAGCAUAAACACUGCAACCUUAAAAUUCAUGCUAUAUGUAUACAUAUAUCUUCUGGUCUGAGAGAAUAAUUUUCUGAUUUACAUGUUGUUUCAUAUUUUCACUUCAUGAAGCACUGCAGUCUAGAGGGUUUCUGUGCAGCUUUCUGAUAUAAAUGGACCUGUAUUUUGUAUGUCACAUAAAAUGAAUAUUAAUAAUAAAUUUAAAAAAAUGCAAAGGCC
Cygnus olor (mute swan) is the source of this 1266-nucleotide long non-coding RNA. RefSeq lists it as uncharacterized. Lineage: Eukaryota; Metazoa; Chordata; Aves; Anseriformes; Anatidae. The record is from RefSeq and is a predicted model, not a curated record. The transcript has 2 exons.